Molecule: long non-coding RNA, 892 nt
Organism: Hyalella azteca
Lineage: Eukaryota; Metazoa; Arthropoda; Malacostraca; Amphipoda; Hyalellidae
Exons: 2
Source: RefSeq, a predicted model, not a curated record
GCUGUGCACCGCGUCUUCCUACAGCUGGCUGAGGUGCUGGGCGGGGAGGACGUGUCGGUGCAGCUGCGGUGGCCGUCGUUCCUGCUGAUGGCCAGCAAACCUGCGCCCUGAACGCCUUACUGAUAGCAAAAUAUUUGUGUUUAGCGAUACAAUAACCGCCCUCAAUGCUAUUCCUACCUACAAACCUGGUGAUAAAAAUUGUCAGUAGACAGGGGCCGUAUCUAUGUAUCGAUCCAAAUCUAUACCUUAACCGCCCUCAAUGCUAUUCCUACCUACAAACCUGCGCCCUGAACGCCUUAUUGAUAGUACAAUCAUUGUGUUUAGCGAUACAAUAACCGCCCUCAAUGCUAUUCCUACCUACAAACCUGCGCCCUGAACUACUUAUUGAUGUUACAAUCAUUGUUUUUAGCGAUACAAUAACCGCCCUCCAUGCUAUUCCUACCUACAAACCUGCGCCCUGAACAACUUAUUGAUAGUACAAUCAUUGUUUUUAGCGAUACAAUAACCGCCCUCAAUGCUAUUCAUACCUACAAACCUGCGCCCUGAACGACUUAUUGAUAGUACAAUCAUUGUGUUUAGCGAUACAAUAACCGCUCUUAAUGCUAUUCCUACCUACAAACCUGGUGAUAAAAAUUGUCAGUAGACAGGCGCCGUAUCUAUGUAUCGAUCCAAAUCUAUACCUUAAUCGCCCUCAAUGCUAUUCAUACCUAAACACCUCGUAACAAGAAUUGUCAGUUAUCAGACGCCGUAUUUUUAUAACGAUCCAGAUAUUUUUAGAUAUGUUAACCGCCCUUAAUGCUAUUCGUACCUAAAGACCUAAUAACAAGAAUUGUCAGUUAUCAGAUGCAGUAUUUUUAUAACGAUUCAGAUGUUAUUAUCAAUACAAUAACCG